This is a non-coding RNA of Cymbomonas tetramitiformis, 74 nucleotides long. The record is from the annotation of a GenBank genome assembly. Lineage: Eukaryota; Viridiplantae; Chlorophyta; Pyramimonadophyceae; Pyramimonadales; Pyramimonadaceae.
GGCGCAAUAGUGUAGUGGUAACAUACUCGUCAUGAAUUCGAGAGACUAGCAAGGGUUCGAUUCCCGUUGCGCCU